RNAcentral lists this ribosomal RNA (106 nucleotides) under Cayaponia citrullifolia. RNAcentral describes it as "partial 5.8S ribosomal RNA". It matches the Rfam family "5.8S ribosomal RNA", at positions 50 to 153 of the family's 154-position model. Rfam says of the family: 5.8S ribosomal RNA (5.8S rRNA) is a component of the large subunit of the eukaryotic ribosome. It is transcribed by RNA polymerase I as part of the 45S precursor that also contains 18S and 28S rRNA. Functionally, it is thought that 5.8S rRNA may be involved in ribosome translocation. The record is from RNAcentral. Lineage: Eukaryota; Viridiplantae; Streptophyta; Magnoliopsida; Cucurbitales; Cucurbitaceae.
GAAAUGCGAUACUUGGUGUGAAUUGCAGGAUCCCGCGAACCACCGAGUCUUUGAACGCAAGUUGCGCCCGGAGCCUUGUGGCCGAGGGCACGUCUGCCUGGGCGUC